UACGUAGGUGGCAAGCGUUAUCCGGAUUCACUGGGUUUAAAGGGUGCGUAGGUGGGUUUGUAAGUCAGUGGUGAAAUCUCCAAGCUUAACUUGGAAACUGCCGUUGAUACUAUAAAUCUUGAAUGUUGUGGAGGUGAGCGGAAUAUGUCAUGUAGCGGUGAAAUGCUUAGAUAUGACAUAGAACACCAAUUGCGAAGGCAGCUCACUACACAAAGAUUGACACUGAGGCACGAAAGCGUGGGGAUCAAACAGG
RNAcentral lists this ribosomal RNA (253 nucleotides) under uncultured bacterium. Its description in RNAcentral is "partial 16S ribosomal RNA". It matches the Rfam family "Bacterial small subunit ribosomal RNA", at positions 524 to 776 of the family's 1533-position model. The record is from RNAcentral.